Molecule: unclassified non-coding RNA, 373 nt
Filed under: Hevea brasiliensis (rubber tree)
Lineage: Eukaryota; Viridiplantae; Streptophyta; Magnoliopsida; Malpighiales; Euphorbiaceae
Source: RNAcentral
AAAAUGCAGAUGCAUCACUGAAGAACAAACCUGCCAAAGAAGCUGAUUCUGGUGAAGGCUCCGCAGGAAAGAUGCCACAAACUGAGAUUGAGAAAGAGACUUUCUCAGGUGAGAAGGAUAUCCCAGAUGCUGUAACUGUGGAAGCAAAUGAAGGAGCAGAGAAAGGGAAUGCUAAUGGUCCUAAUGGAACUGUUCCUGCAUCUGAGGGAGAGGUUAAAGAGAAACCAGGUAUUCAGGAGAAUGAUGUUAAGUGUAACAUCUCUGUAGAUGGAAAAGCCAAUACAACAGAUGGCGAAAUCACAGAAAAUGGUAAGGAUAGCCAAACAGGGCAAACUGAUGCUCCUCAAAAUCCAGCUCCUCCUGUGAGCUGCUG